Molecule: ribosomal RNA, 253 nt
Filed under: uncultured bacterium
Lineage: Bacteria
Description: partial 16S ribosomal RNA
Rfam family: Bacterial small subunit ribosomal RNA
Source: RNAcentral
UACGUAGGGGGCAAGCGUUAUCCGGAAUUACUGGGUGUAAAGGGAGCGUAGACGGUAAUGUAAGUCUGGAGUGAAAGGCGGGGGCCCAACCCCCGGACUGCUCUGGAAACUAUGUUACUAGAGUGCAGGAGAGGUAAGCGGAAUUCCUAGUGUAGCGGUGAAAUGCGUAGAUAUUAGGAGGAACACCAGUGGCAAAGGCGGCUUACUGGACUGUAACUGACGUUGAGGCUCGAAAGCGUGGGGAGCAAACAGG